AAGUCGUAACAAGGUUUCCGUAGGUGAACCUGCGGAAGGAUCAUUACCGAGAUAGGGUCUCUUCGGAGCCCGACCUCCAACCCUUUGUUUACCAAACCACUGUUGCCUCGGCGGGCCGCCGGCGCCUUUAACAGGGCGCCGCCGUCGGCCCUAGCGCUCUCGAGCGCCCGCCGCGGGACCCCCAAAACUCUUUAAUAAACAAGUAUCUUCUGAGUGGAAUUUAAUGCUUCAAAUAAAA
This 238-nucleotide unclassified non-coding RNA is filed under the name plant metagenome. RNAcentral's name for it is "partial contains small subunit ribosomal RNA and internal transcribed spacer 1". The stretch from base 1 to 46 matches the Rfam family "Eukaryotic small subunit ribosomal RNA", at positions 1786 to 1831 of the family's 1831-position model. The record is from RNAcentral.